Non-coding RNA from Trichonephila inaurata madagascariensis, 73 nucleotides. Lineage: Eukaryota; Metazoa; Arthropoda; Arachnida; Araneae; Nephilidae. The record is from the annotation of a GenBank genome assembly.
GUCCCUGUAGCGCAAUGGAUAGCGUGUAAGACUUCUUAUCCUAAGGCCGUGGUUUCGAAUUUCACCUGGGAUG